This 495-nucleotide ribosomal RNA is filed under the name uncultured bacterium. RNAcentral's name for it is "bacterial SSU rRNA". It matches the Rfam family "Bacterial small subunit ribosomal RNA", at positions 30 to 523 of the family's 1533-position model. The record is from RNAcentral.
AUUGAACGCUGGCGGAAUGCUUUACACAUGCAAGUCGAGCGGCAGCGCGGGGCAACCUGGCGGCGAGCGGCGAACGGGUGAGUAAUACAUCGGAACGUGCCCAGACGUGGGGGAUAACUACUCGAAAGAGUGGCUAAUACCGCAUACGAUCUAAGGAUGAAAGCGGGGAUCGCAAGACCUCGCGCGUUUGGAGCGGCCGAUGGCAGAUUAGGUAGUUGGUGGGGUAAAGGCUUACCAAGCCCGCGAUCUGUAGCUGGUCUGAGAGGAUGAUCAGCCACACUGGGACUGAGACACGGCCCAGACUCCUACGGGAGGCAGCAGUGGGGAAUUUUGGACAAUGGGCGAAAGCCUGAUCCAGCCAUCCGCGUGCAGGAUGAAGGCCCUCGGGUUGUAAACUGCUUUGUACAGAACGAAAAGCUACUUCUAAUACAGAGAGUCCAUGACGGUACUGUAAGAAUAAGACACCGGCUAACUACGUGCCAGCAGCCGCGGUAA